UGGAGUAUGUGGUUAAUUCGAUGCAACGCGAAGAACCUACCUGGUCUUGACAUCCCGGAGACCCUUAGGAAACUAGGGGUGCUUCCAUCUGGAAGAAUCUGGAGACAGGUGCUGCAUGGCUGUCGUCAGCUCGUGUCGUGAGAUGUUGGGUUAAGUCCCGCAACGAGCGCAACCCUUGCCUUUAGUUGCCAGCAGUUCGGCUGGGCACUCUAAAGGGACUGCCGGUGUUAAACCGGAGGAAGUGGGGAUGACGUCAAGUCCUCAUGGCCUUUAUGACCAGGGCUACACACGUACUACAAUGGCCGAUACAAAGGGCAGCGACACUGCGAGGUGAAGCCAAUCCCGUAAAAUCGGUCUCAGUCCGGAUUGGAGUCUGCAACUCGACUCCAUGAAGUUGGAAUUGCUAGUAAUCGUGGAUCAGCAUGCCACGGUGAAUACGUUCCCGGGCCUU
Molecule: ribosomal RNA, 451 nt
Filed under: uncultured Desulfobulbus sp.
Lineage: Bacteria; Pseudomonadati; Thermodesulfobacteriota; Desulfobulbia; Desulfobulbales; Desulfobulbaceae
Description: bacterial SSU rRNA
Rfam family: Bacterial small subunit ribosomal RNA
Source: RNAcentral